This 505-nucleotide ribosomal RNA is filed under the name uncultured bacterium. RNAcentral describes it as "bacterial SSU rRNA". It matches the Rfam family "Bacterial small subunit ribosomal RNA", at positions 30 to 529 of the family's 1533-position model. The record is from RNAcentral.
AUUGAACGCUGGCGGAAUGCUUUACACAUGCAAGUCGAACGGCAGCACGGGGCAACCUGGUGGCGAGUGGCGAACGGGUGAGUAAUACAUCGGAACGUGCCCAAUCGUGGGGGAUAACGUAGCGAAAGUUACGCUAAUACCGCAUACGAUCUACGGAUGAAAGCGGGGGAUCGCAAGACCUCGCGCGAAUGGAGCGGCCGAUGUCAGAUUAGGUAGUUGGUGGGGUAAAGGCUCACCAAGCCAACGAUCUGUAGCUGGUCUGAGAGGACGACCAGCCACACUGGAACUGAGACACGGUCCAGACUCCUACGGGAGGCAGCAGUGGGGAAUUUUGGACAAUGGGCGCAAGCCUGAUCCAGCCAUUCCGUGUGCAGGAUGAAGGCCUUCGGUUGUAACUAGCUUUGUUACGGAACGAAACGGUACUGCCUAAUACGGCGGGCGUAAUGACGGUACCGUAAGAAUAAGACACCGGCUAACUACGUGCCAGCAGCCGCGGUAACACGAG